AAUGACAAAUAGAAUAUGGGAGUAGAGGGGAAAAUAACAUCAGUAAAUAUGAACAAACCACUUAUUUCAUGUGGUUGUAAAAACAAAAUGGUUGCUUUUCUCUAUGAUGUGAUAUUUUAUACCAUAGGUGUCAUAUUUAAUGGGGUACAGGAACCUGAAGCUGUGUGUGAUCACCCCAAGCUUUCAAGAAACAUGUCGAGUGACCCUAGCAGUGAUGGACCUCCUUCACCCUCUCCCAUUAGUGGACUGAAUGCCCCAAAAUUUGGAACUUUGAUACCCAACAGAAUAUUUGUGGGUGGAAUUUCUCCAAGUACAACAGAAGCAGAACUUCAUGCACUAUUCUCAAACUACGGAAAUGUCAAGGCCACAAAAAUCAUAGCAGAUCGAGCAGGUGUAUCAAAAGGGUAUGGAUUUGUAACAUUUGAGACUGAAGAAGAAGCCAAGAGAAUGCAGGCAGAGUCAGAAAACUUAGUGCUGAAAGACAGGAAAUUAAACAUAGCUCCAGCAAUAAAAAAACAGCCUUUUGGUAGAAUGUAUAAUGAAUCAACACAACUGGUACCAAAUGGGACCAUCAUUUAUCAGAAUGGUGUACCUUGUACUUAUCAUAACGGAAUGGCUUUUUACUCCGCUCCUGAUUCUUUAUAUCAAGUGCCUCAGCCACAAACAACUUACCCUGUGGUUUACGGACAACCAAUGUAUGUACCUCAGCAACAGUUCCAGUACCAACCAGCAAUGUCUGCACAAUGGACAGCCAAUAACCAGUGGCAUUGGGCUGCAGCUGCCAGCAGUACAGGCUUUCCAUCUGUGACUAAUGCUGAGGGUGGGGUUCUCUUCCCUUCUGUGGUACCUCCUACAUCCUACCUUCUCUCAGACAGAAAUUUCUGACAUUUAUUUUGAUGAGACACAAAGAGGGUAAUGGACCUGUGCUGUUGUCCAUUACCUCCUCUGUGUCUGGCCAGCACCUAUAUUCUACCGUGUCAUCUCCACCUACAAUUACCACACAAACCUCAUCAGAGUUGUAUCAUUAUGAACUCAUACCUCAUCAGAUACACUUGCCAGCUAACCCCUCUGGAGUGCAACUGGCCACAUAUCCUACCCAUACAACAACAGAGAACUUUGACUACACUGUGCUUGAAAAUGAA
Molecule: unclassified non-coding RNA, 1142 nt
Filed under: Limulus polyphemus (Atlantic horseshoe crab)
Lineage: Eukaryota; Metazoa; Arthropoda; Merostomata; Xiphosura; Limulidae
Description: protein boule-like, transcript variant X3
Source: RNAcentral